This is a long non-coding RNA of Hippocampus comes (tiger tail seahorse), 630 nucleotides long. RefSeq lists it as uncharacterized. Lineage: Eukaryota; Metazoa; Chordata; Actinopteri; Syngnathiformes; Syngnathidae. The record is from RefSeq and is a predicted model, not a curated record. The transcript has 2 exons.
CGCCCACUGCAGGUAUUUAACCCCUUUCCCGCUGGCCGCAUUCUUGCAGGUGCACCGGAGGACGUAAACACGAUCAUCAUGAUGCAUUUUCAGCACAGAUUCGAUGCAGGUUUCGCCCAUUUUAAAGUCAAUAUCGGUGACGAGAUCCCAGGACUGCCAGUAGCCCGAGAAAGUGUAUUUUUUUUUAACCGCAGUUGCCAAUUGAAAGACUUUGUUUCCCUCUAGCGAGCGACACUAUAAUACCGACAGUCCGAGUUUACCUUGUCAACGUGUAGGCCCGGUAUUUUACAAAACGUUCGGGACGAAAACGUUUCACGUCGAACCGAAAGUGCACUCCUUUUGCACAACUUGCUGUUCUACGGUGCUUACUUUACUGUCUGUCUGUCGCUGCUCACCUGUCUACAUUUGUUCAUUUCGGAAAGGCCGACUUCUGAUACAGUUUUCCUGGACUGCGGGGAUCCUGCCUGUUUUCCAGCUCUCCGAGGAGCAACACACCCGAUUCACACAAUCAGGAUCGUUCCGAUGCCGCUUCAGAGCCGACAUGCCUGAUGUCCAGCAAGUCAACCAGCAAAACCCAUCUGGGAUCAUCUGUUGUGCCUACGAGGAGUAAAUCAAAAAGUGAGCGUGAUA